GAGUUUGAUCUUGGCUCAGAACGAACGCUGGCGGCAGGCUUAACACAUGCAAGUCGAACGCGUGUAGCAAUACACGAGUGGCGCACGGGUGAGUAACACGUGGAUAUCUGCCUUUUGGUUCGGGAUAACCCUGGGAAACUAGGGCUAAUACCGAAUGGUUCCUACGGGAUAAAGAUUUAUCGCCAAAAGAUGAGUCCGCGUCCGAUUAGCUAGUUGGUGAGGUAAUGGCUCACCAAGGCGACGAUCGGUAGCUGGUCUGAGAGGACGAUCAGCCACACUGGGACUGAGACACGGUCCAGACUCCUACGGGAGGCAGCAGUGGGGAAUAUUGGACAAUGGGCGCAAGCCUGAUCCAGCCAUGCCGCGUGGGUGAUGAAGGCCCUAGGGUUGUAAAGCCCUUUCGGCGGGGAAGAUAAUGACGGUACCCGCAGAAGAAGCCCCGGCUAACUUCGUGCCAGCAGCCGCAGU
This 468-nucleotide ribosomal RNA is filed under the name uncultured Alphaproteobacteria bacterium. RNAcentral's name for it is "bacterial SSU rRNA". It matches the Rfam family "Bacterial small subunit ribosomal RNA", at positions 9 to 521 of the family's 1533-position model. The record is from RNAcentral. Lineage: Bacteria; Pseudomonadati; Pseudomonadota; Alphaproteobacteria.